This 2927-nucleotide ribosomal RNA is filed under the name Staphylococcus aureus. RNAcentral's name for it is "bacterial LSU rRNA". It matches the Rfam family "Bacterial large subunit ribosomal RNA". The record is from RNAcentral. Lineage: Bacteria; Bacillati; Bacillota; Bacilli; Caryophanales; Staphylococcaceae.
AGAUUAAGUUAUUAAGGGCGCACGGUGGAUGCCUUGGCACUAGAAGCCGAUGAAGGACGUUACUAACGACGAUAUGCUUUGGGGAGCUGUAAGUAAGCUUUGAUCCAGAGAUUUCCGAAUGGGGAAACCCAGCAUGAGUUAUGUCAUGUUAUCGAUAUGUGAAUACAUAGCAUAUCAGAAGGCACACCCGGAGAACUGAAACAUCUUAGUACCCGGAGGAAGAGAAAGAAAAUUCGAUUCCCUUAGUAGCGGCGAGCGAAACGGGAAGAGCCCAAACCAACAAGCUUGCUUGUUGGGGUUGUAGGACACUCUAUACGGAGUUACAAAGGACGACAUUAGACGAAUCAUCUGGAAAGAUGAAUCAAAGAAGGUAAUAAUCCUGUAGUCGAAAAUGUUGUCUCUCUUGAGUGGAUCCUGAGUACGACGGAGCACGUGAAAUUCCGUCGGAAUCUGGGAGGACCAUCUCCUAAGGCUAAAUACUCUCUAGUGACCGAUAGUGAACCAGUACCGUGAGGGAAAGGUGAAAAGCACCCCGGAAGGGGAGUGAAAUAGAACCUGAAACCGUGUGCUUACAAGUAGUCAGAGCCCGUUAAUGGGUGAUGGCGUGCCUUUUGUAGAAUGAACCGGCGAGUUACGAUUUGAUGCAAGGUUAAGCAGUAAAUGUGGAGCCGUAGCGAAAGCGAGUCUGAAUAGGGCGUUUAGUAUUUGGUCGUAGACCCGAAACCAGGUGAUCUACCCUUGGUCAGGUUGAAGUUCAGGUAACACUGAAUGGAGGACCGAACCGACUUACGUUGAAAAGUGAGCGGAUGAACUGAGGGUAGCGGAGAAAUUCCAAUCGAACCUGGAGAUAGCUGGUUCUCUCCGAAAUAGCUUUAGGGCUAGCCUCAAGUGAUGAUUAUUGGAGGUAGAGCACUGUUUGGACGAGGGGCCCCUCUCGGGUUACCGAAUUCAGACAAACUCCGAAUGCCAAUUAAUUUAACUUGGGAGUCAGAACAUGGGUGAUAAGGUCCGUGUUCGAAAGGGAAACAGCCCAGACCACCAGCUAAGGUCCCAAAAUAUAUGUUAAGUGGAAAAGGAUGUGGCGUUGCCCAGACAACUAGGAUGUUGGCUUAGAAGCAGCCAUCAUUUAAAGAGUGCGUAAUAGCUCACUAGUCGAGUGACACUGCGCCGAAAAUGUACCGGGGCUAAACAUAUUACCGAAGCUGUGGAUUGUCCUUUGGACAAUGGUAGGAGAGCGUUCUAAGGGCGUUGAAGCAUGAUCGUAAGGACAUGUGGAGCGCUUAGAAGUGAGAAUGCCGGUGUGAGUAGCGAAAGACGGGUGAGAAUCCCGUCCACCGAUUGACUAAGGUUUCCAGAGGAAGGCUCGUCCGCUCUGGGUUAGUCGGGUCCUAAGCUGAGGCCGACAGGCGUAGGCGAUGGAUAACAGGUUGAUAUUCCUGUACCACCUAUAAUCGUUUUAAUCGAUGGGGGGACGCAGUAGGAUAGGCGAAGCGUGCGAUUGGAUUGCACGUCUAAGCAGUAAGGCUGAGUAUUAGGCAAAUCCGGUACUCAUUAAGGCUGAGCUGUGAUGGGGAGAAGACAUUGUGUCUUCGAGUCGUUGAUUUCACACUGCCGAGAAAAGCCUCUAGAUAGAAAAUAGGUGCCCGUACCGCAAACCGACACAGGUAGUCAAGAUGAGAAUUCUAAGGUGAGCGAGCGAACUCUCGUUAAGGAACUCGGCAAAAUGACCCCGUAACUUCGGGAGAAGGGGUGCUCUUUAGGGUUAACGCCCAGAAGAGCCGCAGUGAAUAGGCCCAAGCGACUGUUUAUCAAAAACACAGGUCUCUGCUAAACCGUAAGGUGAUGUAUAGGGGCUGACGCCUGCCCGGUGCUGGAAGGUUAAGAGGAGUGGUUAGCUUCUGCGAAGCUACGAAUCGAAGCCCCAGUAAACGGCGGCCGUAACUAUAACGGUCCUAAGGUAGCGAAAUUCCUUGUCGGGUAAGUUCCGACCCGCACGAAAGGCGUAACGAUUUGGGCACUGUCUCAACGAGAGACUCGGUGAAAUCAUAGUACCUGUGAAGAUGCAGGUUACCCGCGACAGGACGGAAAGACCCCGUGGAGCUUUACUGUAGCCUGAUAUUGAAAUUCGGCACAGCUUGUACAGGAUAGGUAGGAGCCUUUGAAACGUGAGCGCUAGCUUACGUGGAGGCGCUGGUGGGAUACUACCCUAGCUGUGUUGGCUUUCUAACCCGCACCACUUAUCGUGGUGGGAGACAGUGUCAGGCGGGCAGUUUGACUGGGGCGGUCGCCUCCUAAAAGGUAACGGAGGCGCUCAAAGGUUCCCUCAGAAUGGUUGGAAAUCAUUCAUAGAGUGUAAAGGCAUAAGGGAGCUUGACUGCGAGACCUACAAGUCGAGCAGGGUCGAAAGACGGACUUAGUGAUCCGGUGGUUCCGUAUGGAAGGGCCAUCGCUCAACGGAUAAAAGCUACCCCGGGGAUAACAGGCUUAUCUCCCCCAAGAGUUCACAUCGACGGGGAGGUUUGGCACCUCGAUGUCGGCUCAUCGCAUCCUGGGGCUGUAGUCGGUCCCAAGGGUUGGGCUGUUCGCCCAUUAAAGCGGUACGCGAGCUGGGUUCAGAACGUCGUGAGACAGUUCGGUCCCUAUCCGUCGUGGGCGUAGGAAAUUUGAGAGGAGCUGUCCUUAGUACGAGAGGACCGGGAUGGACAUACCUCUGGUGUACCAGUUGUCGUGCCAACGGCAUAGCUGGGUAGCUAUGUGUGGACGGGAUAAGUGCUGAAAGCAUCUAAGCAUGAAGCCCCCCUCAAGAUGAGAUUUCCCAACUUCGGUUAUAAGAUCCCUCAAAGAUGAUGAGGUUAAUAGGUUCGAGGUGGAAGCAUGGUGACAUGUGGAGCUGACGAAUACUAAUCGAUCGAAGACUUAAUCAAAUU